AUAAAACUCAAUAAACAUUUUAAUCAUCUAAUCGUUGAAAUACUAAUUGGAGCGUAACAGCUGCACAUAUUAUAUAGGCGAGAGAGCAAAGAAUCGCUUUGCGAUUAGUUAGUUAACAUCCAACAUGAUUCUUUAAAAAAUCGGUUUUUGUUUUCACUGAUCAACAUCCAUCGCAAGAUAUUUUUUAAAACUGGAGUCGCGAAGAGCGCUGAUUGGAAUUCCAGCUAGCCUGACCAAGUGACAAGUUGACAACUCUAUAUAAUGAUGACUUUUGCCUCUUUUGCAACAGAUAGUUAUUCUAAUUUGAUAAACAGCUGCCAUCGACGCGCAUCGAUUCCCAAUAUUCCCAUGAGAAGAUAAAAAGGUGGAUCGCCGCCGCGCGCGUGUAAAUAAAGCUUAAACGAUGCGUGCACCUUAUCGCGCACGACUUUUCGCGCUUUCGUUGCCAAGAGCGUCAAGAGCGCGGCGUGUCGCGCCGAUAGCAUCUAUAGAAUGUAUACAUUAUACGUUCGCGUUCCCUCGGAGGCUCGAACUACUCCGGGACCGGGACGAAGCGGCACACGCACAGGCCACAGGGCCACAAGCCACAGCCACUCGUGACGUGACUCGAGUUUAGUCGGCAGCGGCAGCAUGCGUCGGCGACGUACGUCUCGAAUGUCUCGAUACGCGGUACGCGGCGGUCUCGCGUGAGCAGCGUGAGCUAACGUCCGGACCCGGACUCCGGAUUGCCUGCGCUCGGAUGACCUGGCGGAUCUGGCGAGCUUCAAUCUCCUCUCGCGCUCGUAUGACCGCGAGAAAUCCUACGCUGGGUAUGACCAUUUUGUGGAAUGUACACAUGACUAAAAUAAUGUGAGAAAAAAUGGUAAGCAAUUUACCACAAGAAUUCAAGAAGUAUCAGAGGAACAGGAAUCAGCUACACCAUAUACUUGAAGAGACACAGCGUACAUUAGAGGUUAUAAAACUUGAGAACUUUUUCCCUGGAGAGAAUAUCAUCGAGGAAUUACUGCCUCCAUUGACCUUGGACAGAGUGACACACAUCCUUGAUAAUUCUCCCGCAAUAGUCAUUUUUGGGCAAGAUAAUAAAGCCAAAGCUUCGCUGGUUAACAACUUGCUUUCCGCCGAUAUCUUGCCGCUGUCCAACGAUCCAUGGAGAUGGGUCAAGAUCACGUAUGGUCAUACGAAUCAUGUCAGUCUCACGUUAGGUUUAGAAUACGAAGUAGUCGAGACGUUACGGGCAAACGAAAAAUCAUGGAGCACGCUCCCAUUCGAGGAUCUAGAAAAAUCGAUAAACGAAGACAUCAAUUGCCCUACAGUGCUGGAAGUGAAGUUAGAUCAAGCAAUACUGAAAGAAGGUGUUCAAAUAUUUGUCGUCCCCAACAGUGGUGUAGUAAAAAUUCUCGCUAAAGGCUCGUUGAAAAUUUUACCUAUAUUUCUCUACGCUCUCGGGGAGCAACCGUUGACUGAAGAAAAUUUGGAAGAAUUGAGAGAUUUGAAAGAGACUUAUCCGUAUAAUCCGAUUUUAUUCAUAUCGUCGUUAGCUAAUGUUUCGUUGGAUGGCACAGACGCGGAAUUGACUGAGUCUGAGCAGCAUAGCCUGCAAAAUCGGAUAGAGGUGCCGAGCGUAUCUAAGGAAUCGAAGAGUGAUGAUAGUAUUAAUAUUGACAAAAUGAAUUCACUCGGUCUAACGUGGCUAGAUCAGUUGAGCAGUUUAGGAUUCCUAGGGAUGGAAGAGUCUGUGGAAGUUCAUCAAUUAACGUGGCUUGUCGGCGAGCGUUACGUUAAUAAUUCAAGCGACCUAGUGGAUUCAUGCAAAAAAACGGACCGCGUUUUACAUUUCACGCGUGCCUGCCUGCAAAGCUAUCUGAUAAACGCCAGCACUUAUUUGAAUGAAAUACAUACAACCAGUCUACGUAAAUUUAUUUUAAGUGCGUUUGACAUGGCACGAAAAAUACAGAUCACUCCUAGAAGGAUACAAUACGCCCAACAGAAAGAAAACGAACUUUAUGCUAGUCUAAUGAAGGUUGUUAAUGAGCAGCAGGUGGAAUUGACUGAAUUAAUACAAUGUAUUAUUCAGGAGAUGAAAGACGAUAUAUUAGGGUCCACUGGCGAUAUCUUCCAGUAUCAGACCGUUCCUUUCGAUAAUAGCGAAGCGGAGUGGACGGUUACUGUUCGUGUUGCGACGUCGGAGGUCCAACGAUUUGUGCUAGGCCGCUUGGGUGAGAAAGUCGCGAAGGAGCUCGUGAACUCAGUAAACUGUCUUCGAGAAACUUUUAUCGGGACUCUUCAACGUUGCUUAAUAAGUCUUGAAAAAACUUACGAACACGACAGCAGCCUGUUAGCUAGUGAUGCCUUGAAGCAAAUACUCUCCGCGGCAUACAAUGUGGAAUUGCACAAUUCGUCACCAUCCUUGGUGCACUCGUUCUUGGAAAGAUUGAGACAGCUCUUCAAAUCUUUACCGCUGCCAUGGACACCUACCCCGACUCUGGACACGGCUUGGAGGCGGAAGGUUACUGUCGAUAUCUUGAAUUCCUUGUCGGCAGCGAGAUUGGCGAAAACAAUUUCCACGCAGUUUAGAGACAAACUGAAAUCGUCGCAUGACGCCUUCCAGACUGCCUUGAAAUCUCUAGAAAACUAUUAUUCGGGGAAGCUGGAGAGGACCGAGGAACAGAGAAUAGCUAUACGAAAGUACCACGCACCCAAGCUAGCUAAACUCGCGUUGGAAUCCACGUCGAUGAUGGAUGCGAUUCGCUUCGGCAUUCCUCAUUACGGCAAGGAGAUUGGCAGAGGACAGUAUGGUGUGGUGUUUGCUUGCGACGGUUGGGGCGGUGCGCCGGGACCAUGCGCGGUAAAAUCCGUUGUUCCGCCGGACGAGAGGCAUUGGAACGAUCUCGCGAUGGAGGUUUACUAUACCAGGUCGAUACCAGAUCACAAAAGGAUAGUGAAGCUUCGCGGAUCCGUUGUAGACCAAUCGUACGGCGGGGGAUUCGGAUUGGGCACUGCAGUUCUCUUAAUCACUGACCGGUUAAGUCGCGAUUUAUACUGCGGUAUACACGCCGGUCUUUCGUGGCUGGAACGUAUACAAAUAGCGAUAGAUGUCCUGGAGGGAAUACGUUAUCUUCACUCGCAAGGCCUAGUUCAUCGUGAUAUCAAAUUGAAAAAUGUCUUGCUCGAUACGGAAAACAGGGCUAAACUAACUGAUCUCGGAUUUUGUAUUACCGAAGCUAUGAUGUCAGGUAGUAUCGUAGGAACGCCGAUCCACAUGGCACCGGAACUCCUGUCUGGCCAUUACGACAGCAGUGUCGAUGUCUAUGCCUUUGGCAUCUUGUUUUGGUAUAUAUGUGCUGGGAAGGUUCGAUUACCGUAUGCAUUUGAACAAUUUCAUAACAAGGAGCAGUUAUGGACAAGCGUGCGGAAAGGUCUUAGGCCCGAGAGACUACCACAUUUUGACGAGGAGUGUUGGACGUUAAUGGAACAAUGUUGGUCUGCGGAGCCUUCCAAACGGCCGUUGCUCGGUGCGAUUCAACCAGUGUUAGAGUCUAUUCAGGACAAAGCGGAAAGAGGCAAGUCCUUGCAAUUAGGCGCACUGAAACUACAAGAGAGUUCAUCAUCCGAACAUACAAAUCCUGCGCUAGCAUUAGCAGAGCCUAAUAACCAAAGAGAUAAUACGUUCUUCGCAACCGAGCCUGCAUGAAAAUUUGGGCGGAUAUUGAUAAUACAAUUGUUUCAAGGAAAUAUAAUAAUAGAUUGUACAAUAUUUUUAUUACUCGAUAAGUGUGAGGAUAUGAAGAUUAUGCGCAGAACUAUUUAAUCAAAGAUCGACAUAGAUGCGUAAAGCCUGUAUAUAUUUUUCUAAAGAAAGGAGGAAUAGCAAUCUCUUGAGGAGAGAGAAAAACCUGAGAAUGAACAGUGAGCUGAAGUAAUCCAGCAGGAAAAUAUGUACCGUGUGCCACUGACUUUAAAUGGAGAUGGAAGAUGGAACAUGGCCAACACGGAACCCGUCCACUGGCGCCUCUAUGUACAUGAAACGUGUGCGUUGAACUACGUAGUCAUGUACCUAUCAUUGAUGUCUACAAAUAUUUCCGACGGGUAACAUGGGAUAACUGCAACGCAUCAUAUCACCGACAACCCAGCAACACGUAUGUCUAAAAGAUAUCUUUCUGACAAUUUUAUAAGACAUUUGAACAAUUUUUAGACAUCUUUUAGAUGUCUGGUAAGAUGUCUUAAUAUUUUUUGAAAAAAUACUAUUAAAAAUCGACUAUUUUGCAGAAAAUGUCGUGACUGUUAAAAUUUAUACGAUUUAAUUUAGACUAUAUAGAUCGUAAUAUAAUAUCAAUUUUAUGAUUUAUUAUUAUCCUAAUGUAAGAUUGUUCUUAUAUAUAUUUACGAUUCGAUAAUAUUCGAUUUUUAUUUAAAACUACUGCAGUUUUACUUUUAUCACUUUUGGGUUUGAGACAAGAUAAGACAUGUAUCAGCUAUUGUCUUUUAUUUUAUUUUGAUUGUUCGUUAUUCACUCGCGAUGUAUUUUCGCAAAUUUUUUUUUUUUUUUAACUAAAAAAUAUGGUAUUACAUGCGUUAGAUUAAAAUGAAAUGAGAAGAGCCUGCAAGAAUUGU
This is an RNA transcript of Temnothorax curvispinosus, 4611 nucleotides long. It is a transcript of the gene named dual serine/threonine and tyrosine protein kinase-like, with no coding region annotated. NCBI's taxonomy places the organism in Eukaryota, Metazoa, Arthropoda, Insecta, Hymenoptera, Formicidae. The transcript is spliced from 6 exons. The record is from RefSeq and is a predicted model, not a curated record.